Molecule: ribosomal RNA, 238 nt
Filed under: uncultured bacterium
Lineage: Bacteria
Description: partial 16S ribosomal RNA
Rfam family: Bacterial small subunit ribosomal RNA
Source: RNAcentral
CGGCGGACGGGUGAGUAACGCGUGGGUAACCUGCCUCAUACAGGGGGAUAACAGUUGGAAGCGGCUGCUAAUACCGCAUAAGCGCACAGUACCGCAUGGUACCGUGUGAAAAACUCCGGUGGUAUGAGAUGGACCCGCGUCUGAUUAGCUAGUUGGUGGGGUAACGGCCUACCAAGGCGACGAUCAGUAGCCGACCUGAGAGGGUGACCGGCCACAUUGGGGCUGAGACACGGCCCAA